Molecule: transfer RNA, 73 nt
Filed under: Myadora brevis
Lineage: Eukaryota; Metazoa; Mollusca; Bivalvia; Myochamidae
Description: tRNA-Arg
Source: RNAcentral
GGAGUGGUGUUGUUUAGCAUAUUUGGUUUCGGCCCAUAAGGUAGGAAUAAAUAAGUAUUAUUCCUCCACUCUU